UUUGUGUCUUUUAUUUGUGUAGCUCCGUCAAGUAGGCUGGCAGCUUCUGCCUGAAAAACAGUAGCUUUGUUCCCGAAGCUGACAGAGUAUUGUAAAUUAAGUUCCGGGCAGAAGACACCUCCACCGCUGCCCUUCUUGUUCUUGGCUCCGUCAAUGUAGAUAU
Non-coding RNA from Plutella xylostella (diamondback moth), 163 nucleotides. The record is from RefSeq and is a predicted model, not a curated record. Lineage: Eukaryota; Metazoa; Arthropoda; Insecta; Lepidoptera; Plutellidae.